GGAUUAGAUACCCUGGUAGUCCACGCCUUAAACGAUGGACACUAAGUGUCGGCGGUUUACCGCCGGUGCCGCAGCUAACGCAGUAAGUGUCCCGCCUGGGGAGUACGGCCGCAAGGUUGAAACUCAAAGGAAUUGACGGGGGCCCGCACAAGCGGUGGAGCAUGUGGUUUAAUUCGACGCAACGCGAAGAACCUUACCCAGGCUGGACAUGUACGAAGUAAGAACCUGAAAAGGGGAUGAGCUAGCAAUAGCAUCGUACUCAGGUGCUGCAUGGCUGUCGUCAGCUCGUGCCG
This 293-nucleotide ribosomal RNA is filed under the name uncultured bacterium. RNAcentral describes it as "partial 16S ribosomal RNA". It matches the Rfam family "Bacterial small subunit ribosomal RNA", at positions 775 to 1067 of the family's 1533-position model. The record is from RNAcentral.